This 76-nucleotide microRNA precursor is filed under the name Tursiops truncatus (common bottlenose dolphin). RNAcentral describes it as "miRNA (ENSTTRG00000024316.1)". The record is from RNAcentral. Lineage: Eukaryota; Metazoa; Chordata; Mammalia; Artiodactyla; Delphinidae.
GGGAUCUUGUUAAAAUGUGGAUUCUGAUUCACUAGGCCUGGGAUGGGGCCCAAGAUUCUGCAUUUCUAACAAGCUC